UUGGAGGGCAAGUCUGGUGCCAGCAGCCGCGGUAAUUCCAGCUCCAAUAGCGUAUAUUAAAGUUGUUGCAGUUAAAAAGCUCGUAGUUGAAUUUCGGGGUUAGUAGGUUGGUCAUGCCUCUGGUAUGUACUGGUCUCACUGAUUCCUCCUUCCUGAUGAGCCGUAAUGCCAUUAAUUUGGUGUUGCGGGGAAUUUGGACUGUUACUUUGAAAAAAUUAGAGUGUUUAAAGCAAGCUAACGCUUGAAUACAUUAGCAUGGAAUAAUGAAAUAGGACGUUCGAUCCUAUUUUGUUGGUUUCUAGGAUUGACGUAAUGAUUAAUAGGGAUAGUUGGGGGCAUUAGUAUUCAAUUGUCAGAGGUGAAAUUCUUGGAUUUAUUGAAGACUAACUACUGCGAAAGCAUUUGCCAAGGAUGUUUUCAUUAAUCAAGAACGAAAGUUAGGGGAUCGAAGACGAUCAGAUACCGUCGUAGUCUUAACCAUAAACUAUGCCGACUAGGGAUCGGAUGAUGUUAAUUUUUUAAUGACUCAUUCGGCGCCUUACGGGAAAA
This 549-nucleotide ribosomal RNA is filed under the name uncultured Glomeromycotina. RNAcentral's name for it is "SSU rRNA". It matches the Rfam family "Eukaryotic small subunit ribosomal RNA", at positions 548 to 1098 of the family's 1831-position model. The record is from RNAcentral. Lineage: Eukaryota; Fungi; Glomeromycota.